RNAcentral lists this ribosomal RNA (551 nucleotides) under Serrognathus miwai. RNAcentral's name for it is "partial 16S ribosomal RNA". It matches the Rfam family "Bacterial large subunit ribosomal RNA", at positions 1798 to 2619 of the family's 2925-position model. Lineage: Eukaryota; Metazoa; Arthropoda; Insecta; Coleoptera; Lucanidae. The record is from RNAcentral.
GCCUGUUUAUCAAAAACAUGGCCUUUUGGGAAUAAUUUAAGGUCUGGCCUGCCCAAUGAGUUGAUUAAAUGGCCGCGGUACUUUGACCGUGCAAAGGUAGCAUAAUCAUUAGUUUUUUAAUUGAAAGCUGGUAUGAACGGUCGGACAAGAAAAUUACUGUCUCAAUUAAAUGGUUUUAGAAUUUUAUUUUUUAGUAAGAAGGCUAAAAUAGGUUUAGGGGACGAGAAGACCCUAUAGAAUUUUAUAAGCUUUACAAGAUUGAAUUUUUAGUUUAAUUGUUUUAAUUUUAUGAGGUUUAUUUUGUUGGGGUGAUUGAAAAAUUUGAUAAACUUUUUUUUUAUUUAUUCACUUAUAUGUGUUUAGAUGAUCCGUUGUGAAGCGAUUAUAAGAUUAAAUUACCUUAGGGAUAACAGCGUAAUUAGUUUGGAGAGUUCUUAUUGAUAAACUAGUUUGCGACCUCGAUGUUGGAUUAAAAUAAACUUUUGGUGUAGGGGCUGAAAAGUUAAGUCUGUUCGACUUUUAAAAUUUUACAUGAUCUGAGUUCAGACCGG